CAUCCGCAAGCAGAGCCUCAGCGCAACGCGCCUCUCUCUGUGUGUGUCUGUCUGCCACGCGCGUCUUCGAGGUGGCCCGCAGGGAGACACACGGCAGGACGGAGGGGUGAGAGGGGUGACGCGAUACACGAAACUCGAGUAACACACCGCUGCACCCCUGCCCCUCCUUGGCUGCGUAAAACGUCGUCUUUCCGCUUCGCACACAACACGUACACACACACACACACACAGCGCCACGCUGUUAGCCAUGCCUACACUGCUCGUGUACCUCGUCAUCCUCGCCAUCGCCGCCGGCGUCACGUUUGCGCUCUUUGGCGAGGUCGGAGAGGCGGACGUGGCACCAGCGGACGCGCUGGAGCUGUUUGCUACUGCGACCCCCACGGCCAGCGGCGCCACAACUUUCUCGCUGGAGGCGACUACCGAGGCGAAGACCGGUGGUGACGACUGUGGUGCUCGCAAGAGCCAUGCCGCGCCGGGAGAUGAGAGCGGCAUAGCGCACAUCCAGUCGCUCUUAAUGAAGUGCGGCGUGCCACCUCAGCAGCAGGAGAUGAUAUCCUUCUUGGGCAGGCACUGUUGCGUGCUGCCGGUAAAGUCGCACACCGUCCGCGUGCUGAACCACCCCGCCGUCUUUUACGAGGAGCUGAAAAAGCGUGUCAUGGCGGCGCAGCGCUCCAUCACACUCUCGGCCCUCUACAUCGGUGAUGGGCCCCUCUCGAGAGCCUUCGUAGCAUGCUUGGAGGAGCGCGUGCGAUGGGCUGCAGCAGGCGGACACCCGUUCUCCAUCACGAUCCUACUUGACUACAACCGCAUGCAGGACCGAAAGAACUUGGUUUCACUGAAGACGCUGAUGGAGCUGGCACAGCAGACGGCGAGCACGGCCCCGCUGCCCGUCGACGCAGCCAUAGCGGGAGCGAGCGCGUCCUCUCCGACGACGCGCUCACCGUCCACGCUGGGCAGCUCCUCCAUCUUCGCAGACGGCGAGCGAGACGCCGAGGAAGACGAGGCGGUGCGUGGCGACAGCGCAGAUGGUGCAUCGGCCACCACCACCACCACCGCAGCUGCUGCGUCGACCGGGGUGAGAGUGCGUCUCUUCCUCUACCAGAACCCUAGCAAGUGGAAUGGAGUCUUCGCGCCCUUCGGGCGGGCCAAGGAGGUGCUCGGCGUGCAGCACACGAAGAUCUUUGUCUUCGACCAGCGCCACACCAUCCUGACCGGGGCGAACCUCUCAGACGACUACUUCGCCACCCGCAUGGAUCGCUACAUGAUAGUGGAGGACAACGUCCUCGUCGCGCGGUGGUUUACGCAGCUCGUGCGCACGGCGAAUCGCAUGUCGCACCCUGUCGUCUGCCGCAAGGAGUUUGCGGAGCAGCUCACCAGCGGCGCCGACACCUGUGCGAGUCGCACGCCUAACAAGAGUGGUGCGCUGGGGCAUUCUUCUGCCGCUUUCCUGUCCUCACGCAUGGCGGCGGCAACCGCGAACGGCUCCGCUCCAGAGCCGCUGCAAUCUCCAUUACGUUGGGUGGUGGAGAAGGUGAAUCGUGCGGUGUCGCCGCCACUGACAUCGCUGGUAUCGCAACGCGAGGGGUCGCCGACGCUGCAUCGCAAGAGCGACCUCGUAAUCUUGGCGAACGCGCUCCAGAUGGACCCCUCCGUCGACACGGAGGCAUUCUGUGCACGGGCCAACGCGCUGCUGCACGACUUUGCCGCGUGGGCACGGCGGCUGUGCGCGGCGGCGAAGGUCGACUGGGGCUGCUACGACACGUUUUUGUUUCCUACGGUGCAGGCGGGUCGUGCGGGGGUGUACCACGACAGCGUCAUCGUGAAGCAGCUGCUGCGGCUCUCCACCGCCGAGGAUCAUAUCUUUUUGGCCUCGCCGUACCUGAACAUGCACGCGUCCUUCGUGGACGAGGUGCUACACGGCACGAGCUACGUGGACUGCAUCACGGCGAGUGUGCAGACGAACGGCUGGAACGGGCAAAAAGGCAUGGCCGGCCGCAUCCCUCUCUUCUACCUGCAGCUGGAGCGAUCCUUCUAUUAUCUCAUGAAGGCGUACAACUGCCUGCGUCGGGUGCACAUCCGCGAGUUCUCCGUGAAGGGUUUGACCUUCCACGCGAAGGGCUUGUGGUUCAUGGGCCGGCGGUGCUGCUCAGGCGCCGCCGCCGCCGCCGCCUCCCCCCCAGGCAAAGACGGUGAGGGCGAUGCUAGGCAGCGCCACGACGACCGCGGCGCCGAUGCCGCGGCCGCAGACCCGUGCCCACCGGAGAGCAUCUCCGCUCCGUACCUCGUCGCGUACGGCAGCACCAACUAUGGAUAUCGCUCCGUUCACAAGGACGUCGAGGCGGAGGCGUUCCUGCUGACCACCAACGACGCACUGCGCGAGACGCUGCGGCAGGAGCUGCUCUUUCUUCUCCAGCAGUCUGUCCCAGUCACGGAGGCGCAGUUUGUGGGCACGGCGAUGGGCCGCUUCCAGCCUGUGAUUUCGCUGAUCGCUCACCUCGGCCACGAUUUCCUGUAAGCGCGCGGCGGUUUGCCGCGCUGGCGUGCCUUCGUACAGGCGUCUGUUGGAGAUGUGCCUGGGCGCACCACCGGCAUGCGGGCGGCCGGUGCUGCUGGUGGUGCCUGCCGCUAUUGGCUCACUUCUUGCUAACGUGGGGAGCUCAUAUAAAGCGCGAUACCUCGGAGGUGGGGCAGAGUUAGUGAGGAAGGAAGGGAGGACGGAAGAGGGGAUGCGUGCCAGUGCGCGCGUGUGCGCGUGGCGGUGCUGGCAUUGAUGGACGGUGUCCGUACUGUCGCCCGUGCCCACGCCACCAGCGAUGGCCCCACGGCGCCCCUCUUUUGGUUCCUCCUCAUUGCCUCACCCACGUCUCUCUCUCUCUGUGAGCGGGAGUGUGCGUGGCACGGAUUUGGCUCGGGCAGCAGCUGUACGCAAAGCAUGCCAGGAAAGUAAUGCAUAAGCGGUUGCCCACAGCGUGUGCGUGGAGGGAGGACGGCGGAGAGGCAGGGGGAGAAGGUAAGCGCGUGCUGUGCCAACUGCCAGUGUGACAACACCAUGUACGUGUGUGUCUCUCUCUCUCUCUCGUGAUAACCCUUACACAAAGUCUUCGCCUCACGAUCGGAUUU
Molecule: unclassified non-coding RNA, 3120 nt
Filed under: Leishmania donovani
Lineage: Eukaryota; Euglenozoa; Kinetoplastea; Trypanosomatida; Trypanosomatidae
Description: gene:LdHU3.07.0270(CDS-product:phosphatidylglycer olphosphate_synthase_mitochondrial_putative)
Source: RNAcentral